This 87-nucleotide microRNA precursor is filed under the name Petromyzon marinus (sea lamprey). RNAcentral describes it as "microRNA pma-mir-194 precursor". Its record names the gene pma-mir-194. It matches the Rfam family "mir-194 microRNA precursor family". From Rfam's summary of the family: The hairpin precursors (represented here) are predicted based on base pairing and cross-species conservation -- their extents are not known. In this case the mature sequence is excised from the 5' arm of the hairpin. The record is from miRBase by way of RNAcentral. Lineage: Eukaryota; Metazoa; Chordata; Hyperoartia; Petromyzontiformes; Petromyzontidae.
CACAGUGUGCAUCAGGUGUAACAGCAACUCCAUGUGGAUGUUCCAUCGCUCCCAGUGGAGUUACUGUUACUUUUGAUGGACAUUCAC